RNAcentral lists this ribosomal RNA (327 nucleotides) under uncultured eukaryote. RNAcentral's name for it is "partial 18S ribosomal RNA". It matches the Rfam family "Eukaryotic small subunit ribosomal RNA", at positions 1470 to 1796 of the family's 1831-position model. The record is from RNAcentral.
CCCUUAGAUGUUCUGGGCCGCACACGCGCUACACUGAAGGAGGCAGCGUGUACUCCUGGAUCGAAAGAUUUGGGUAACCCGCGAAUCUCCUUCGUGCUAGGGAUUGAGGUUUGCAAUUAUCCUUCAUGAACGAGGAAUUCCCAGUAAGUGCAAGUCAUAAGCUUGCGCUGACUACGUCCCUGCCCUUUGUACACACCGCCCGUCGCUACUACCGAUUGAAUGAUUUAGUGAGGACUUCGGACUGGGACCGAUGGGGCUUUCGGGCUGCGUCGGUAUUCUGGAAAGAUGUCCAAACUGUAUCAUUUAGAGGAAGUAAAAGUCGUAACA